CCUACGGGAGGCAGCAGUGAGGAAUAUUGGUCAAUGGGCGCGAGCCUGAACCAGCCAAGUAGCGUGAAGGAUGACGGCCCUACGGGUUGUAAACUUCUUUUAUAAGGGAAUAAAGAGAGUCACGUGUGCCUCUUUGUAUGUACCUGAUGAAUAAGGAUCGGCUAACUCCGUGCCAGCAGCCGCGGUAAUACGGAGGAUCCGAGCGUUAUCCGGAUUUAUUGGGUUUAAAGGGAGCGGAGGUGGGAGGUCAAGUCAGCUGUGAAAGUUCGGGGCUCAACCCUGUAAUUGCAGUGGAUACUGGCGGCCGUGAGUGCGCGAGAGGUAGGCGGAAUUCGUGGUGUAGCGGUGAAAUGCUUAGAUAUCACGAAGAACUCCGAUUGCGAAGGCAGCUUACUGAAGCGCAACUGACGCUGAUGCACGAAAGCGUGGGUAUCGAACAGGAUUAGAUACCCCUGUAGUC
RNAcentral lists this ribosomal RNA (460 nucleotides) under uncultured bacterium. RNAcentral describes it as "partial 16S ribosomal RNA". It matches the Rfam family "Bacterial small subunit ribosomal RNA", at positions 338 to 795 of the family's 1533-position model. The record is from RNAcentral.